RNAcentral lists this ribosomal RNA (902 nucleotides) under uncultured microorganism. Its description in RNAcentral is "bacterial SSU rRNA". It matches the Rfam family "Bacterial small subunit ribosomal RNA", at positions 8 to 916 of the family's 1533-position model. The record is from RNAcentral.
AGAGUUUGAUCAUGGCUCAGGACGAACGCUGGCGGCGUGCUUAACACAUGCAAGUCGAACGGAAAGGCCCCUGCUUGCAGGGGUACUCGAGUGGCGAACGGGUGAGUAACACGUGGGUGAUCUGCCUUGUACUUCGGGAUAAGCCUGGGAAACUGGGUCUAAUACCGGAUAGGACCAUGCUUUAGUGUGUGUGGUGGAAAGUUUUUUCGGUACAAGAUGAGCCCGCGGCCUAUCAGCUUGUUGGUGGGGUAAUGGCCUACCAAGGCGACGACGGGUAGCCGGCCUGAGAGGGUGUACGGCCACAUUGGGACUGAGACACGGCCCAGACUCCUACGGGAGGCAGCAGUGGGGAAUAUUGCACAAUGGGCGCAAGCCUGAUGCAGCGACGCCGCGUGAGGGAUGACGGCCUUCGGGUUGUAAACCUCUUUCGCUAGGGAAGAAGCCACUUUGUGGUGACGGUACCUGGAUAAGAAGCACCGGCUAACUACGUGCCAGCAGCCGCGGUAAUACGUAGGGUGCAAGCGUUGUCCGGAAUUACUGGGCGUAAAGAGCUCGUAGGUGGUUUGUCGCGUCGUCUGUGAAAUCCCGGGGCUUAACUCCGGGCGUGCAGGCGAUACGGGCAUAACUGGAGUGCUGUAGGGGAGACUGGAAUUCCUGGUGUAGCGGUGAAAUGCGCAGAUAUCAGGAGGAACACCGAUGGCGAAGGCAGGUCUCUGGGCAGUAACUGACGCUGAGGAGCGAAAGCAUGGGUAGCGAACAGGAUUAGAUACCCUGGUAGUCCAUGCCGUAAACGAUGAGUGCUAGGUGUUGGGUCCUUUCCGGGACUCAGUGCCGCAGCUAACGCAUUAAGCACUCCGCCUGGGGAGUACGACCGCAAGGUUGAAACUCAAAGGAAUUGACGG